GUACACUCCUACGGGAGGCAGCAGUGGGGAAUUUUGGACAAUGGGGGCAACCCUGAUCCAGCAAUGCCGCGUGAGUGAAGAAGGCCUUCGGGUUGUAAAGCUCUUUUGUCAGGGAAGAAACGGUGGUGGCGAAUAACUACUACUAAUGACGGUACCUGAAGAAUAAGCACCGGCUAACUACGUGCCAGCAGCCGCGGUAAUACGUAGGGUGCAAGCGUUAAUCGGAAUUACUGGGCGUAAAGCGUGCGCAGGCGGUUGUGUAAGUCAGAUGUGAAAUCCCCGGGCUCAACCUGGGAAUUGCAUUUGAGACUGCACGGCUAGAGUGUGGCAGAGGGGGGUAGAAUUCCACGUGUAGCAGUGAAAUGCGUAGAUAUGUGGAGGAAUACCGAUGGCGAAGGCAGCCCCCUGGGAUAACACUGACGCUCAUGCACGAAAGCGUGGGGAGCAAACAGGAUUAGAAACCCGUGUAGUCCC
RNAcentral lists this ribosomal RNA (474 nucleotides) under uncultured organism. Its description in RNAcentral is "partial 16S ribosomal RNA". It matches the Rfam family "Bacterial small subunit ribosomal RNA", at positions 331 to 797 of the family's 1533-position model. The record is from RNAcentral.